RNAcentral lists this long non-coding RNA (1326 nucleotides) under Homo sapiens (human). RNAcentral's name for it is "RNF217 antisense RNA 1". The record is from RNAcentral. Lineage: Eukaryota; Metazoa; Chordata; Mammalia; Primates; Hominidae.
AACACUGGCGGAGCCCCAGGUGGCGACGCGGGCGGCGAGAGCUGCUCCGAGGCGGGGGCCUCGGGCAGGUCGCUCUCCACGCAGUACACGGAGCAGAAGACUUGUCUCUUGGCGAGGGACGGGCGCCGCUGACCCAGCACGUCCAGGACCAGUCCGUCGGCGGCCCCCACGCGGGUCCUGGGCUCCAGCUCUUCGCCGGGGGGCGCCUCCUGCUGUUCAUCCCCUCCCUCUUUUCGAUCCCCAGCUUCCUCCUCUUCCUCCUCCAGCUCCAACUGCAGUGGCAAGGUCUGGGGAUUGAGAGGCCCGGCAUGACUAAGAGAUAUCGUGAAAUUACAACUCAACAAUGAAUUACAGCACAGGCUUUUCACAACUAAGAGACUGUCCAUCAUGGUGCCAGUUUUUCUCAAAAUGGCAUGUGUGCAUGAAAUUCUACAGGCAUAUGGGGUCGUGAUCUGCUAAUCUCCAGUUAUUAUAACUACUUUGAAAAGGGACUUUCCAGCUAUCAGUACACUAUCUCACAAUUACCCUUGAACCAGAAGACAAUGAAUGAUUUGCUAAACAGAUGGCAUAGUCUAUGACAUGCAUCAUAUGUGUGAGCAAUCACAGAAGACCAAAUUAUGAUUGUAUGUCCCAGAAAUUCACUUAGAAGCUAAUAGAAAAAAUGAAACCAAAGCCUUUUGAGAGUUGAAAAUUUAUCAUGACAUAUGCUGGCUGCACAGUCAAAACUUAUCACUGCCCACGACUUCGGAAGCAUGACAGGAGAGCUGUGGGAGCCACUUCCUCGUCAGACGUGGUUUGAUAUGUCAAGUGAGAACCUGAGUAAAGCAAAGAGGUGAACUAUGACUUGGAAUCCUCCAGGCUUUGGCUUCCAUCACACUCCAUGAACUUGAUGCACAUAAUUUAAUAAACUGCUGAUGCUGACCUGUGCCUCAAGAGGCUUGCCUGUUUGGGGGAGAAGCCUGAUGUGGAGACCAUUGGAAGAGGCUAAGGCAAGCUACCUGUUCCUUAAACAGAUUGUUCAACCUAUUCCAGUUUUUGGUCCUCUACCUCACACAUUCCUUCCACUUCCAAAUCCUGUUGUUAGAGGAUGUUACCUGCCAAAUUUGUACUUUGGAAUCCUCCUCUGCAUGUUCAUAAGUUUUUGGGUUUUCCUUUCUGCUCACUUGCCAAUCCUCUAUCUACUUUCAAUCUUCUAAAAAUUGCUGAAACUUCUUGUCUCACUGUUAAUUCUUUAACAUCAAUUUGUUGGUAUUUUAGGAUAAAAUAUAAGUAAGUGUAUAUCUUCAACCAGCUAUCAUUAAAUGGAAAAUUUCUGGUAUUAUUUUA